Small nuclear RNA from Callithrix jacchus (white-tufted-ear marmoset), 117 nucleotides. Its record names the gene U5. It matches the Rfam family "U5 spliceosomal RNA". Rfam says of the family: U5 RNA is a component of both types of known spliceosome. The precise function of this molecule is unknown, though it is known that the 5' loop is required for splice site selection and p220 binding, and that both the 3' stem-loop and the Sm site are important for Sm protein binding and cap methylation. NCBI's taxonomy places the organism in Eukaryota, Metazoa, Chordata, Mammalia, Primates, Cebidae. The record is from Ensembl.
AUGCUCUGGUUUCUCUUCAUAACGAAUAAAUCUUUCGCCUUUUACUAAAAAUUUCCGUGGAGAGAAGCAAUUAUGAGUUUGCAAUUUAAUUUUUUGAUGUCCUGCUUAGGCAGGGCU